ACGGCGAGUGAAGCGGCAACAGCUCAAAUUUGAAAUCUGGCUCUCGGGCCCGAGUUGUAAUUUGCAGAGGAUGCUUUUGAUGAGGUGCCUUCCGAGUUCCCUGGAACGGGACGCCAUAGAGGGUGAGAGCCCCGUCUGGUUGGACACCGAAUCUCUGUAAAGCUCCUUCGACGAGUCGAGUAGUUUGGGAAUGCUGCUCUAAAUGGGAGGUAUAUGUCUUCUAAAGCUAAAUACCGGCCAGAGACCGAUAGCGCACAAGUAGAGUGAUCGAAAGAUGAAAAGCACUUUGGAAAGAGAGUUAAAUAGCACGUGAAAUUGUUGAAAGGGAAGCGUUUACGACCAGACUUGGCCCGGUUGAUCAUCCAGCGUUCUCGCUGGUGCACUCUGCCGGUCCAGGCCAGCAUCAGUUCGCCCCGGGGGAUAAAGGCGGCGGGAAUGUGGCUCCUCCGGGAGUGUUAUAGCCCAUCGUGUAAUACCCUGAGGCGGACUGAGGUUCGCGCAUCUGCAAGGAUGCUGGCGUAAUGGUCGUCAACGACCCGUCUUGAAACACGGACCAAGGAGUCGUCUUCGUAUGCGAGUGUUCGGGUGUCAAACCCCUACGCGUAAUGAAAGUGAACGCAGGUGAGAGCUUCGGCGCAUCAUCGACCGAUCCUGAUGUUCUCGGAUGGAUUUGAGUAAGAGCAUACGGGGCCGGACCCGAAAGAAGGUGAACUAUGCCUGUAUAGGGUGAAGCCAGAGGAAACUCUGGUGGAGCCUCGCAGCGGUUCUGACGUGCAAAUCGAUCGUCAAAUAUGGGCAUGG
RNAcentral lists this ribosomal RNA (801 nucleotides) under Hyalinostachys cylindrospora. Its description in RNAcentral is "Sordariomycetes sp. CGL-2017a partial large subunit ribosomal RNA". It matches the Rfam family "Eukaryotic large subunit ribosomal RNA", at positions 86 to 920 of the family's 3401-position model. The record is from RNAcentral. Lineage: Eukaryota; Fungi; Ascomycota; Sordariomycetes; Hypocreales; Stachybotryaceae.